GACCUAACCCUUAAUUUUUAGUUUAAGAUAUGGUCGAAAAUCCCAACGAAGAUACUGAACCCCGCGUUCAGCGACUCUUCGUUGGGUCAUAUCUCGAAAGGGGUAUGUGGCCGCAAGGCU
This 120-nucleotide small RNA is filed under the name unclassified sequences. Its description in RNAcentral is "LOOT RNA". It matches the Rfam family "LOOT RNA". From Rfam's summary of the family: Latescibacteria, OD1/Parcubacteria, OP11, TM7. Lineage (Microgenomates, aka OP11) The record is from Rfam by way of RNAcentral.